ANCAUGCAAGUCGAGCGGGGAAGUGUAGCUUGCUACAUUACCUAGCGGCGGACGGGUGAGUAAUGCUUAGGAAUCUGCCUAUUAGUGGGGGACAACAUUCCGAAAGGAAUGCUAAUACCGCAUACGUCCUACGGGAGAAAGCAGGGGAUCUUCGGACCUUGCGCUAAUAGAUGAGCCUAAGUCGGAUUAGCUAGUUGGUGGGGUAAAGGCCUACCAAGGCGACRAUCUGUAGCGGGUCUGARAGGAUGAUCCGCCACACUGGGACUGAGACACGGCCCAGACUCCUACGGGAGGCAGCAGUGGGGAAUAUUGGACAAUGGGCGGAAGCCUGAUCCAGCCAUGCCGCGUGUGUGAAGAAGGCCUUUUGGUUGUAAAGCACUUUAAGCGAGGAGGAGGCUACUCUAGUUAAUACCUAGAGAUAGUGGACGUUACUCGCAGAAUAAGCACCGGCUAACUCUGUGCCAGCAGCCGCGGUAAUACAGAGGGUGCGAGCGUUAAUCGGAUUUACUGGGCGUAAAGCGUGCGUAGGCGGCUGAUUAAGUCGGAUGUGAAAUCCCUGAGCUUAACUUAGGAAUUGCAUUCGAUACUGGUCAGCUAGAGUAUGGGAGAGGAUGGUAGAAUUCCAGGUGUAGCGGUGAAAUGCGUAGAGAUCUGGAGGAAUACCGAUGGCGAAGGCAGCCAUCUGGCCUAAUACUGACGCUGAGGUACGAAAGCAUGGGGAGCAAACAGGAUUAGAUACCCUGGUAGUCCAUGCCGUAAACGAUGUCUACUAGCCGUUGGGGCCUUUGAGGCUUUAGUGGCGCAGCUAACGCGAUAAGUAGACCGCCUGGGGAGUACGGUCGCAAGACUAAAACUCAAAUGAAUUGACGGGGGCCCGCACAAGCGGUGGAGCAUGUGGUUUAAUUCGAUGCAACGCGAAGAACCUUACCUGGUCUUGACAUAGUAAGAACUUUCCAGAGAUGGAUUGGUGCCUUCGGGAACUUACAUACAGGUGCUGCAUGGCUGUCGUCAGCUCGUGUCGUGAGAUGUUGGGUUAAGUCCCGCAACGAGCGCAACCUUUUCCUUAUUUGCCAGCGGGUUAAGCCGGGAACUUUAAGGAU
This 1100-nucleotide ribosomal RNA is filed under the name Acinetobacter sp. RNAcentral's name for it is "bacterial SSU rRNA". It matches the Rfam family "Bacterial small subunit ribosomal RNA", at positions 52 to 1147 of the family's 1533-position model. The record is from RNAcentral. Lineage: Bacteria; Pseudomonadati; Pseudomonadota; Gammaproteobacteria; Moraxellales; Moraxellaceae.